CGCCCCUUACCGUCCCCGUCUAUGCCGUGGUGAUCCCGGACCUUGGGCCUGCAGCUGUUUACCCGCGAUUUUUUGAACAAGGGCUGCCUCCACACACCCCUACAGAAAGCCAUCAAGAAGGGGUGGACUAAAAAGGAACAGAACAAGGAAAAACCAGAAGUCAGAAGUGGUUCCCUCAGGGAUAACCACAGAGGAUAAAGAAAAAGACUCAAAAAACACAGUGAUUUUUUGGUUCAAAAAUGAUGAUGAUGAAGGAGGGAGGAUUCAAUACAUCACGCUAUACCUGUGUCUCAAAGAUAUUUCAAUAAAGAUUAGUGAUAUGGA
This is a long non-coding RNA of Hyla sarda, 324 nucleotides long. RefSeq lists it as uncharacterized. The transcript is spliced from 3 exons. The record is from RefSeq and is a predicted model, not a curated record. NCBI's taxonomy places the organism in Eukaryota, Metazoa, Chordata, Amphibia, Anura, Hylidae.